Molecule: ribosomal RNA, 460 nt
Filed under: uncultured bacterium
Lineage: Bacteria
Description: partial 16S ribosomal RNA
Rfam family: Bacterial small subunit ribosomal RNA
Source: RNAcentral
CCUACGGGGAGCAGCAGUGAGGAAUAUUGGUCAAUGGACGAGAGUCUGAACCAGCCAAGUAGCGUGAAGGAUGACUGCCCUAUGGGUUGUAAACUUCUUUUAUAUGGGAAUAAAAUGUUCCACGUGUGGGAUUUUGUAUGUACCAUAUGAAUAAGGAUCGGCUAACUCCGUGCCAGCAGCCGCGGUAAUACAGAGGAUCCAAGCGUUAUCCGGAUUUAUUGGGUUUAAAGGGAGCGUAGGUGGAUUGUUAAGUCAGUUGUGAAAGUUUGCGGCUCAACCGUAAAAUUGCAGUUGAAACUGGCAGUCUUGAGUACAGUAGAGGUGGGCGGAAUACGUGGUGUCGCGGUGAAAUGCUUAGAUAUCACGAAGAACUCCGAUUGCGAAGGCAGUUCACUGGACUGCAACUGACACUGAGGCUCGAAAGUGUGGGUAUCAAACAGGAUUAGAUACCCCGGUAGUC